This 1671-nucleotide ribosomal RNA is filed under the name Escherichia coli. RNAcentral's name for it is "partial 23S ribosomal RNA". It matches the Rfam family "Bacterial large subunit ribosomal RNA", at positions 1274 to 2925 of the family's 2925-position model. The record is from RNAcentral. Lineage: Bacteria; Pseudomonadati; Pseudomonadota; Gammaproteobacteria; Enterobacterales; Enterobacteriaceae.
UGGAGGUAUCAGAAGUGCGAAUGCUGACAUAAGUAACGAUAAAGCGGGUGAAAAGCCCGCUCGCCGGAAGACCAAGGGUUCCUGUCCAACGUUAAUCGGGGCAGGGUGAGUCGACCCCUAAGGCGAGGCCGAAAGGCGUAGUCGAUGGGAAACAGGUUAAUAUUCCUGUACUUGGUGUUACUGCGAAGGGGGGACGGAGAAGGCUAUGUUGGCCGGGCGACGGUUGUCCCGGUUUAAGCGUGUAGGCUGGUUUUCCAGGCAAAUCCGGAAAAUCAAGGCUGAGGCGUGAUGACGAGGCACUACGGUGCUGAAGCAACAAAUGCCCUGCUUCCAGGAAAAGCCUCUAAGCAUCAGGUAACAUCAAAUCGUACCCCAAACCGACACAGGUGGUCAGGUAGAGAAUACCAAGGCGCUUGAGAGAACUCGGGUGAAGGAACUAGGCAAAAUGGUGCCGUAACUUCGGGAGAAGGCACGCUGAUAUGUAGGUGAAGUGAUUUACUCAUGGAGCUGAAAUCAGUCGAAGAUACCAGCUGGCUGCAACUGUUUAUUAAAAACACAGCACUGUGCAAACACGAAAGUGGACGUAUACGGUGUGACGCCUGCCCGGUGCCGGAAGGUUAAUUGAUGGGGUCAGCGCAAGCGAAGCUCUUGAUCGAAGCCCCGGUAAACGGCGGCCGUAACUAUAACGGUCCUAAGGUAGCGAAAUUCCUUGUCGGGUAAGUUCCGACCUGCACGAAUGGCGUAAUGAUGGCCAGGCUGUCUCCACCCGAGACUCAGUGAAAUUGAACUCGCUGUGAAGAUGCAGUGUACCCGCGGCAAGACGGAAAGACCCCGUGAACCUUUACUAUAGCUUGACACUGAACAUUGAGCCUUGAUGUGUAGGAUAGGUGGGAGGCUUUGAAGUGUGGACGCCAGUCUGCAUGGAGCCGACCUUGAAAUACCACCCUUUAAUGUUUGAUGUUCUAACGUGGACCCGUAAUCCGGGUUGCGGACAGUGUCUGGUGGGUAGUUUGACUGGGGCGGUCUCCUCCUAAAGAGUAACGGAGGAGCACGAAGGUUGGCUAAUCCUGGUCGGACAUCAGGAGGUUAGUGCAAUGGCAUAAGCCAGCUUGACUGCGAGCGUGACGGCGCGAGCAGGUGCGAAAGCAGGUCAUAGUGAUCCGGUGGUUCUGAAUGGAAGGGCCAUCGCUCAACGGAUAAAAGGUACUCCGGGGAUAACAGGCUGAUACCGCCCAAGAGUUCAUAUCGACGGCGGUGUUUGGCACCUCGAUGUCGGCUCAUCACAUCCUGGGGCUGAAGUAGGUCCCAAGGGUAUGGCUGUUCGCCAUUUAAAGUGGUACGCGAGCUGGGUUUAGAACGUCGUGAGACAGUUCGGUCCCUAUCUGCCGUGGGCGCUGGAGAAUUGAGGGGGGCUGCUCCUAGUACGAGAGGACCGGAGUGGACGCAUCACUGGUGUUCGGGUUGUCAUGCCAAUGGCACUGCCCGGUAGCUAAAUGCGGAAGAGAUAAGUGCUGAAAGCAUCUAAGCACGAAACUUGCCCCGAGAUGAGUUCUCCCUGACUCCUUGAGAGUCCUGAAGGAACGUUGAAGACGACGACGUUGAUAGGCCGGGUGUGUAAGCGCAGCGAUGCGUUGAGCUAACCGGUACUAAUGAACCGUGAGGCUUAACCUU